RNAcentral lists this ribosomal RNA (508 nucleotides) under Parachauliodes japonicus. RNAcentral describes it as "partial large subunit ribosomal RNA". The stretch from base 387 to 508 matches the Rfam family "Bacterial large subunit ribosomal RNA", at positions 2473 to 2594 of the family's 2925-position model. Lineage: Eukaryota; Metazoa; Arthropoda; Insecta; Megaloptera; Corydalidae. The record is from RNAcentral.
GUCUUUUUGAUUAUAAUUUAAAGUCUAACCUGCCCACUGAAUUUUUUAAAGGGCCGCGGUAUUUUGACUGUGCAAAGGUAGCAUAAUCAUUAGUCUUUUAAUUGGAGGCUUGUAUGAAUGGUUGGAUGAGGUAUUAACUGUCUCAAUUUAAUAAAUAAUAGAAUUUUAUUUUUAAGUUAAAAAGCUUAAAUUUAAUUAAAAGACGAGAAGACCCUAUAGAUCUUUAUAAUUUAUUAUGUAAUAAUUUUUUAGAUAAAAUUUAUUUUUAUAUAAUUAAUUAUUUUAUUGGGGUGAUAAAAAAAUUUAUAAAACUUUUUUUGUGUUUAAACAGUGAUAUUUGAUUAUUUGAUCCAUUUUUUGUGAUUAUAAGAUUAAGUUACCUUAGGGAUAACAGCGUAAUUUUUUUGGAGAGUUCUUAUCGAUAAAAAAGAUUGCGACCUCGAUGUUGAAUUAAAGGUUAAUUUUAGGUGUAGAAGUUUAAAAUUUUGGUCUGUUCGACCAUUAAAUC